Hipposideros armiger (great roundleaf bat) is the source of this 1911-nucleotide long non-coding RNA. RefSeq lists it as uncharacterized. The record is from RefSeq and is a predicted model, not a curated record. The transcript has 2 exons. NCBI's taxonomy places the organism in Eukaryota, Metazoa, Chordata, Mammalia, Chiroptera, Hipposideridae.
AUCACGGGUAAUAUGAUGACAGCUCUGAUUGUCAUUCCAGAAAAAGAGUUUCAAAAUUGCUUUGAAAGUUGGGCUAGGCACUGGCGAUAGUGCAUAGCUUACCAAAAGGAGUACUUCAAAGGUGUCUUUAGUGAUAUUCAGCAAAGAGGUAUGUAGCACUUUUUCUAAGACGAGUUCAUGAACUUAAUUGUUAGAUCUCAUGUAUGUAUAGGGAAAAACAUAGUAUAUAUAGGAUUCGGUACCAUCUGCAGUUUUGGGCAUCCACUGGGGAUAAGGAGGAACUAUUGUAUAACCAUAUAAAAGGCUUUUUGGAAAAAUGCUUUUGAAGAAGUUUUAGGAUAUCUAAUUUCACCUCGCCUAUUCACAGGGCACAGCUGAAAUCCUCCCCAACCCCAUGGUCUCUGCUCAUAUCUGUAAUACUCAUCUCCCCUAUUGAUUUAAAGAUAACAUCCUCUACUGAAUUUCAUUACCAUUUACAUGUUUUCCACGCUUGUCUCCCUUAGAAAAUAUUAAAAUCUUGAAGGUAAGGAAUGGUAAUAACAGAAACUACUACAUCAAUUAACAAUCAAACAUUUACUAUUUGUCAGGCAUUGUACCAUAGGCUUUAUAUGUGUUAUUUUAUGCAGUCCUCUUGACAAUUCUAUUAUCUCUAUUUCUAUUAUAAGAAAACUGAGGAUUAAACAGAAUAAAGAACUUACCUGAGGCCUAUUGAAGACUACAAGUUACCAUCCAAUAUCUAUUCUCCAUUUUUUUACCUUGUGAUACAACCAAAAUUCCAUUUUGGGAAGCAAUUCAGUUCACUGAAAAAUUGCCUUUUGAAUACUCUCUUGAAGCUAGGCCUUGACGAUUCUUCAAUGGCUUCCAGCUUUGGGCCACAAGUGAACUUGGGGAUAAAAGCUACAUGCUAACAUGGUGGAGCCAAAAACUAGGAAGAGCCUGCGUCUCUGAUGACCUUGAAGCAGCACUUCCAGCACAGAACUAAUAGAGCUGCAGACUUCAGUUACAUGAGAGAAAAAUUAACAUGUACUAUUUCAGCCAUUUGGGGUUUUCACUCACUGUCACCCUAAGUGAAGCAUAUCUCACAGCUGAUAAAAGAUAUUGCUGAGAUUCAGUCCUAAGCAAUUUUGUAUUUUUAUCCUACUCUCAGUGCCUAAUUACAUGAUAUGCACAUCAUACGUUCUGCUUACUUUGGCUGCAAGAAUGAACUCCUUAUUUAGAAGGUUAAAAAAACUGUAUAUAUUUUGUAUUAAAAUAACCCUUCCCAGGAUUUCCUUGCAGAUUCAGCAGAAAGAAUGCAGAAUACAUUGGCACUCCCCUAAAUAAUUAGAAAAUGUGGUAAAGCUGUUUCUUGACUAUUGGAAAUGCUUUUCAAAAUCCUUAUUUUAUAUAUUGGUGUUCCUGUGCUCUAUAUUUUUCUCAUUUGCAAUUCAUAUGUCUGAAGUUGCCAUUAUCAUUUGUGUAUUCAUUUUGGCAAAUAUUUAUUAAACGCCUAUUGUAUAUCAGGAACCAGUUACUUGUUGGGGACAGAAGGGUGAACAAAAUAGGCAAUAUGCUUGAUAUUAUGAUGUUUAUAUUCUUGGGGAGGUGGGGUGAGGGUGUGGAGAGAGAGAAAAUAAUAAGCAAAUAAGUCAGGCAGUAAUAUGUUUAGUGGAGAAAAUUCAAGUGGAGUAAGGGGCCAGUGUUGCCAGGAUUGGGGUAGUUACCUGAAACAAGUAAGAGUAAAUAAAGGAACUUUUGUUUCCUGGCUAGGGCUGUCAACAUAUGUUUUUAGUUUGGGAAAGAACAUAUAUCUUGAUGACAAAGAUUGAUACAUUUCUGAAAAGGUCCUCCAUUGUUCUUGACAAUUUGAAAAACCUUCUGUUGACUUGUCUGAGCAUUUUGUGUCCAAUAAACCCAACUGGACAAUAACUA